GGUUGGUCCGAGUGCAGUGGUAUUUACAACUAAUUGAUCACAACCAGUUGCAGAUUCCUUUGUUCCUUCUUCACUCCCACUGCUAUACUUCACUGGCCUUAA
RNAcentral lists this Y RNA (102 nucleotides) under Prolemur simus (greater bamboo lemur). RNAcentral describes it as "Y RNA (ENSPSMG00000024688.1)". It matches the Rfam family "Y RNA". From Rfam's summary of the family: Y RNAs are components of the Ro ribonucleoprotein particle (Ro RNP), in association with Ro60 and La proteins. The Y RNAs and Ro60 and La proteins are well conserved, but the function of the Ro RNP is not known. The record is from Rfam by way of RNAcentral. Lineage: Eukaryota; Metazoa; Chordata; Mammalia; Primates; Lemuridae.